RNA transcript from Centrocercus urophasianus (Greater sage-grouse), 4373 nucleotides. It is a transcript of the gene named transmembrane protein 252, with no coding region annotated. The transcript has 4 exons. The record is from RefSeq and is a predicted model, not a curated record. NCBI's taxonomy places the organism in Eukaryota, Metazoa, Chordata, Aves, Galliformes, Phasianidae.
AUGAGAAGCACAGCUCAGGCACACAGUAAACAAACAACGGGUGGGAGCUUUGUGCUGUGUCUGCUGGGAAACAUGAAAAAAGUUGUUUUUUCCCUCAUUCGUCUUUCUGUGCUCUUACUCAGUUUCUCCAUCAUUUGCCUGGGAAUCCUUUGCAUCUACACAAGUUCCUCUGCAUGCAGAUGCAGGAAUAGCACGUUGGUUGCUUACUGCCUGUUAGCUCUGGGACUCCUGCUCCUUGUGACUGGCAUUUUCUGGAGCAUGGUCCAUGAAGCCAUGAAAUACGGGGGCCUCAGCAACAUCUUCACGAGAAACCCUGGCCUUACAGAGCUCCGUGUCAGCACCAUAGACAGGCCUGAUUUCUACCCGCCAUCCUAUGAAGACAGCACUGACCCUGAGAAGCAGACCUUCCCACUACCUGUGGCCUCUGCACCAAAAGAGCAAGAAGUCAUUAACAUUCCACCACCUCCUUACAGCGAGAGCAGCACAGAGCCUGUCAGUGAGACUAACGAGCCAGAGCAGCCCCCACCAUAUGAACUAUCUGGCCAGGUCUUGAGCCCCAUGCAGGAGCCAGAUGCUUGUGCACUCGCACAGGACAAUGCUUGCUGACAGCAGACAGGCAGACAAGGGACCUCAGACAGAGCAUGGGACAGCCGGGCAGGGACGUCAGUCAGUGCUGCCUGGGCCUGCAUCACCCAGGUCAGAGCCACCCGGGAAAAGCACUGUCUGUUUUCAUAUUUGAGGGAAGCUGGAGGGGGAAAGCAGAAAGGUGCUCAGCAUUUCAAAAAAGGAGAUUCACAGGUCUGCAGCGUUUGCUUAAGGAAAUGCCACCCAAUGUGAUCACAGUGUUUCUUCACAUGGAAAUAGUCACCUCUGUGUAACACUACCAAGGGACUUAGAGCAAACAAGCUGUCGGCUAUGUCAGGAGAGCGUAGGUAGGUGCAUGGAGAGAUACACCCUGCUGUUACUGUGCAGCCUGCGGGAGGCACUCACUGGAGGCUGGUGCUUACCCAGUGGGUAAGAGACAACCCCUGCCCCUCCCACUAGGUGCGAGCACUGCUGCUCUGACAGCCUGUCCAUUACAGUGUCGGUGUAACUGCAAAUCCUUCUGAAAGAAAUGGAACAGUAAGCAGCUCUGAGGAAACAGAAAUCAGUGGGAAAUCAUCUGCUAGCUUCAUUGCAACUACGGCUUUAAAGCUCAAUGCUAAAGCAAUUCUACCCAGAAGGCACCAGGGGCUUUGUUACUUAAUCACUGUUGUCUGAUAUCUUCAGUCAGAUGUUAAAAAACAGCAUUAUUUUUAAAAUGGCAAAAGCAGAGCAGAACAAGGAUGAAGAGACGAAGAGCUGAAUAUGCCAAAUGAAAUGUGGGACAAGAGUCACAAGCCUGCCAUGCCUGUAAUUUUCCAGUGGAUUUGGAUAUGACAAUAUCCUUGUACCUUGUUUCAGCAGCAAUAUGUACAAGGACAGUAAUUCAGUGCCAAGUGGGCUGCUUAUAUCAUCUGGAUGCAGUGAUGAAUGGAAACUACAAAGAUACUGCACAGAAUGGAGUGACAAUUGUUUUAAUGGCUCAUAAUACCACUUGAUAGAGUCUGAUCAGGUCAAGCAGUUUACAAACUUCACAAACAAAGACAACAAGAAUAAGCAGCAUAAAAUCAGAAUACAUUUAAAUAUGAGUCACAGCUCAUAUUCAAAAUGUUUUGAUAUACACCUACACCAGGCAAAAGUACAUGUCUGCUUUUGUGUUUGUCAUGGAACAUAAAGGCUCAAUUUGAGUUGCAGAACUUGAUAGCUAAAAGAUCUUAAUAUUGACAUAGUCUACCCAAAAGGAACACAGAGCAGUUAUUUUGGCUAGAGAAGCCAAACAUGCCCCGAUAUGGAACAAUCUGCUUAAGUCUUCUGCAUGCUGUUGGCAACAAGGGAAUAACAUGCCUUAAUUAUGCAAAUAACAAAAGCAAGAAAAUUUGACCUUUUUAAUGCGAUGUACAGCAAUUGUAAGUUUCAGACAGAAAAUAGAAAAAGCGAAACACUGCCUUUCUACACGACACCUUGCAUUUUUCAGGAAGUGGGACUCUCUGUAUCUGCUUUGCUUUUGCUUUGCAUCUCUGCCUACCUUCUCUAUAACACUACAGUCUCCAUUUAUGCACAGCAAGUGCAAGCCGAACCAGAGGUGGAUUAUCUUAUCCAGUCUGAGAAAAUCUUAAGUAGGAAAUGCGGUAUAUAUCAGUGCAUAUAAAAAAAAUGUCUAUAAAUAAAUGGUAAGGCUUUCAGCUGAAUGCCAGAAAUGUUUUAAGAGAUAUGUUGAAAGCUGCGAAAUUUUGCUGCUUUACCACCACAGCCAUACCUGUCUUUUGGUCACAGUGCCAUCCACAGGAUCUAUGUACUCAAAGCUGUCUGUUCUUUCCACACUGUAGAUACUGCUGCCCACAGCAAACUGCUGGUGGCUGAAUGACUUGUCAGUGAUCAAAGCUUCCAGGUCUCUCAUUAUGAAAUACGCUGUUCUGGGUUCCAAUGCUUCAUAAUCAAACCUUGCAGGCAUAUAAAAAAGUAGAAAUAAAAAGUAAGUCCACCACAGCUUAGAUGACAAUUCUUUUUUCUCAGUUCUCAAUAUACACACAAUUAGCAAUUCAUUGCUUACUUUGAAAAAUCGACAGUGGACUACUGCAGUACUGAUUGCAAAUUAAACCAGUGCAUGCACGCAGUCCUAUGCAGUCUGCCCAUCUGAUAUAUACACCACAGUUCUAUUCUGGCCAACUAAUUCUCGAGGCAAUAGAAACAAUUUGGAAAAUACAUUGUAUCUUAAGUAGCACAGAAAACAUCAUAAAAUCACUACAGAACUAUAGAACUACUAAGGUUGGAAAAGACCUCUAAGAUCAUCUGUCCAAACAUUCACCCACCACCAAUAUUUCCCCACUAAACCAUGUCCCUUAGUGCAACAUGUAAGCACUUCUUGAACACCUACAGGGACAGCGACAGUGACAUCUCCAUUGGCAGCCCAUUCCAAUGCCUGACCACUCUUCCAGAAUCGUUUUUCCUAAUAUCCAGCCUGAAGUUUCCCUGGAGCAACUUGAGGCCAAUCCUAUCACUAGUUACCCAGGAGAUGAGGCUGUCUCCCAUCUCACCACAACCUCCUUUCAGUAGUUAGUUGUAUAGAGCAGUAAGGUCCCCCCUGAGCCUCCUCUUCUGAAGACUAAACCCAGCACAGACAGCAUUCUGAAAUCAAGGACACAAUCAGCGCAGUGCUCUGAAGAAAAUAAAAUAGAAGAAACUUUGCUGCAAGUUUUGAGGAACAGCUGUGCUCCUCCAUGAUUAUACUUACUCAUCUGAAUUAAAUCUAUUCUGAAAGAAAGAGAGAGAGAGAGAGAGAGAGAGGCUAAGGUAAGAUCUGUGUUAUGUGAAUGCCAAUUAGAAUUCACCCUUCUGAGACAUUAAUAAAAAGAAGUAAAUGUAUGAAUCUUCAGAGGAGUUCUCUUGAGUUCAAAGUAAGCAUAAAAUCAGUUUUCACAAAAGCAUCUUCAUGAAGAAGCAUGGAGAAAGAAGUUCACAAGUACACUUGCUGAGAUUUGGACAUUUUUCAACACCUUGUAACCAACUGCACCCAGAGAUUCCACAUCUAACAUACUGGAAGUGACAUAUAUGCACAGCUCCUUCAGUGAAUACAGUCUGCUUACUCAACUGAUAAAAACUGCCCAUUACAGUGGCAAUCUGUAGCAGAUUUUCAUUACGUGGACAUAUGAAACACACAUCUACACGUAGCUGACUGCAGGUAGUCAAGCCUUGUUUGCAGCAGAAUUGACCCACUGACUGCAUAAGUUUCUGUACCUUUUCUUCAUUUUUCUCACCUGCAGUAGUAGUGUCGACCAAACUUUGCCCAGUGAUCCCUGACAAUUUCUUCUACGCUCUGCUUUCGAGCUGCUAGGAUUGAAAGCCAAACUAGAACAGCCCAUAGUCCGUCUUUCUCUCGAAGGUGAUCAGACCCUAAAGAGAGAUAUGUAAAGCACAUUAUUUGAUACCACUGUGUAUAAGAAAAUAAGCUGAGGAGGCUGGGCAAAUGUCUCACUUAACUUGUACAUCAUAUAACAGUAACCAGGAAGGUACGAGCUUCCACAACUAUGGUAGCUCCCAGAGUGAUAACCAGAAUUUACUUUUACAUACGACAAAGUCUAUACUCCUAACAUUAAAUAAAAAAUAUACAAAUACUUGGAUUGAAGUGGUAGCAGUAUCAUUAUAAUCAUUAUAAUCAUUAAUCAUUAUACAUACAGGUUAUUUCCACACUUCUGGUACUGUCUCCCCAAACUGGGCAAGACACCCAGACUCCUGGCCAGUGUUCUGUGUUAUGUGAGUCAAGUUCAAGAGCAUCUCCCUUCCAGAAUUUCCAG